AUCAGGGGUUCUGGAAACGGAACCUCCGGGUCAGUCUCCGCUUACCGCAGGGAUCGAUUCGUGUUGUUACGCCCACAAGGCAGCUCGACGAGAUGGCGACUGGAACGAGGUUGUCCUGAGGGACGGGGAAGCGUUUCACGUAUCGAGUUGCACGGUGCCAAGGGCGUCCACGGGCCUGCACGCACCACCGCUCGCCUACCCGGCAGCGAGCACACGAUGCGCUUCGUCC
This 229-nucleotide non-coding RNA is filed under the name Pseudomonas fulva 12-X. RNAcentral's name for it is "sRNA regulator of biofilms A". It matches the Rfam family "sRNA regulator of biofilms A". Rfam says of the family: Bacterial strain with deleted SrbA had reduced biofilm mass. However, the deletion of srbA had no effect on growth or antibiotic resistance in P. aeruginosa. The record is from Rfam by way of RNAcentral. Lineage: Bacteria; Pseudomonadati; Pseudomonadota; Gammaproteobacteria; Pseudomonadales; Pseudomonadaceae.